This is a long non-coding RNA of Ziziphus jujuba (common jujube), 651 nucleotides long. RefSeq lists it as uncharacterized. The record is from RefSeq and is a predicted model, not a curated record. The transcript is spliced from 2 exons. NCBI's taxonomy places the organism in Eukaryota, Viridiplantae, Streptophyta, Magnoliopsida, Rosales, Rhamnaceae.
AUACCUAGUUUUUUGAUAAAACCCUUGUAGUUUCUCUUCUGCUCACUGCACUUUCCUCCCUUUUCCAUCUUCUUUCCCUCGCUUUCUCUCCUCUGUCUGUCUGUCUGUCUCUUUCUCUCUCUUUUCCGUUUCUUGCUCAGAUUUUUUGCUGCUGAAAUUCUCUCCUGACUUUUCAUGAACAUCACAAUGUGAUGACUUCUUCUAUUUUUCUUUUAUUUUCUGGCAGACCAAGCUCUCUCACAGUUCAGUGUUGACUUCCUUUUUUCUGCUCCUUUUUCGGUUUUGCAUGAGCCCCUGCUCGGUGAAAAUGGAUAAGCCCCUGCUUGGUGAAAAUGUGUGUGCUCUUGACCACCUUCCCCUUCAAAUGAUAGCAUGCUUGAGAUAAGAGAUGUGCACUUGGACUUGUGGUUAAUACCAAUAAGAUGUGCAAAUAAUGGUUUGAUGUGUCUAUUAAUAGUUAAGUAGGAUGCUGGAAGCUAUUAGUCCAGUUAAAAGACCAUUUGAUAUUUGGCAAUUAAAGUUUUAAUUUUGGUGGUUUUCUCCCAUUUUUUCAUGGAUUUGUCUAAAGAAUAUGAUUCUGGUUAAACAUUUUAAAACUUGUUUUGGUGUUUUCAAUUUGGAAGUAGAAGUUGGUGAAAUAUUUACCACUAC